Long non-coding RNA from Artibeus jamaicensis (Jamaican fruit-eating bat), 313 nucleotides. RefSeq lists it as uncharacterized. The record is from RefSeq and is a predicted model, not a curated record. The transcript is spliced from 2 exons. NCBI's taxonomy places the organism in Eukaryota, Metazoa, Chordata, Mammalia, Chiroptera, Phyllostomidae.
UUAAAACUCAAUCACAGACGCGGAUGCUGGGUCCAGAAGAUACCUGAGUGAUGAUCUCAUCCACACUUUACAGGCUUUCACAUUUGGAUGGGUUCUGCGAGAUCAGAGCUUUUUCUGCAUUGCACCAUCACUUCACCGCACGCCAGCCGUCGCAAUGCUGCAGCUCUGCAACUCGCCGGGGUUUGAGCAGGCCCUUUGUGAAGCCCCGGGGACACUGGGGCGCCAUGAGGAAAACCGCUCCCACACCCAGCUUCAGUUUCACAGAAAAGUAUUCGUCAGGAAAGAGUUUGGAAAUAAAAGAUAACUGCCUCUG